UAGGUUAAGCUAGUAAGAGCGCACGGAGGAUGCCUAGGCACCAGGAGCCGAAGAAGGACGUGGCGAACAACGAUACCGCCUCGGGGAGCCGUAAGCAGGCUUUGAUCCGGGGAUUUCCGAAUGGGGAAACCCAGCUGCCGUAAUGGGCAGUUACUACUGAGUGAAUACAUAGCUCAGGAAGAGGCAUACCGGGGGAACUGAAACAUCUAAGUACCCCGAGGAAGAGAAAACAAAAGUGAUUCCGUCAGUAGCGGCGAGCGAACGCGGAUUAGCCCAAACUUGCGCACUUGUGCGCAGGGGUUGUAGGACGUCUCACAUGGAGUUACAAAGGUGUUUGAUAGGCGAAGAGGUCUGGAAAGGCCCGCCAGAGCAGGUAAUAGCCCUGUAGCCGAAAGCAAGCACCCUCCGAGACGGAUCCUGAGUACGGCGGGACACGAGAAACCCCGUCGGAAUCCGGCAGGACCAUCUGCCAAGGCUAAAUACUCCCUGGUGACCGAUAGUGAAGCAGUACCGUGAGGGAAAGGUGAAAAGCACCGCGGAAGCGGAGUGAAAAAGAACCUGAAACCGUGCGCUUACAAGAAGUCAGAGCCCGUUAUAGGGGUGAUGGCGUGCCUUUUGUAGAAUGAACCGGCGAGUUACGAUUACGUGCAAGGUUAAGGUGGAAAGCCGGAGCCGCAGCGAAAGCGAGUCUGAAUAGGGCGAAUAAGUACGUGGUCGUAGACCCGAAACCGUGUGAUCUACCCCUGUCCAGGGUGAAGGUGCGGUAACACGCACUGGAGGCCCGAACCCACGCAUGUUGAAAAAUGCGGGGAUGAGGUGGGGGUAGCGGAGAAAUUCCAAUCGAACUCGGAGAUAGCUGGUUCUCCCCGAAAUAGCUUUAGGGCUAGCCUCGAGGAAUGAGCGUCGUGGAGGUAGAGCACUGAUUGGGUGCGGGGCCCGCCAAGGGUUACCAAGUCCAGUCAAACUCCGAAUGCCAUCGACGUGCUACUCGGGAGUCAGACAGUGAGUGCUAAGAUCCAUUGUCAAGAGGGAAACAGCCCAGAUCAUCAGCUAAGGUCCCCAAGUGUGUGUUAAGUGGGAAAGGAUGUGGAGUUGCAAAGACAACCAGGAUGUUGGCUUAGAAGCAGCCACCAUUUAAAGAGUGCGUAAUAGCUCACUGGUCGAGUGACUCUGCGCCGAAAAUGUAACGGGGCUAAACACACCACCGAAGCUAUGACAUGUACCA
RNAcentral lists this ribosomal RNA (1225 nucleotides) under Paenibacillus prosopidis. Its description in RNAcentral is "bacterial LSU rRNA". It matches the Rfam family "Bacterial large subunit ribosomal RNA", at positions 1 to 1214 of the family's 2925-position model. The record is from RNAcentral. Lineage: Bacteria; Bacillati; Bacillota; Bacilli; Caryophanales; Paenibacillaceae.